GACGAACGCUGGCGGCGUGCUUAACACAUGCAAGUCGAACGGAAAGGCCCUGCUUUUGUUGUGUGCUCGAGUGGCGAACGUGUGAGUAACACGUGAGUAACCUUCCCUUUUCUUUGGUAUAUCUUCAGGAAACUUGGGCUAAUACCGGAUAGGAUCUCCUUCUUCAUGUUGUUGGUUGGAUAGUUUCGGGGGUUGGGGAUGGACGCGCGGCUUAUCAGCUUGUUUGUGUGGUAGUGGCUUACCAAGGCUUUGACGGGUAGCCGGCAUGAGAGGGUGACCGGGAAAAAUGGGAGUGAGAGACGGCACAGACUGGAACGGGAGGCAGCAGUGGGGAAUAUUGAAAAAUGGGAGGAAGCAUGAUGAAGAAAAGGAGCGUGCGGGAUGAAGGACUUCGGGUUGUAAAACGAUUUAGAAUGUGAAGAAGAGUGAGUGACGGUAAUGGGUAAAGAAGCAACGGCUAACUACGUG
This 468-nucleotide ribosomal RNA is filed under the name uncultured bacterium. RNAcentral's name for it is "partial 16S ribosomal RNA". It matches the Rfam family "Bacterial small subunit ribosomal RNA", at positions 28 to 507 of the family's 1533-position model. The record is from RNAcentral.